Daphnia magna is the source of this 1154-nucleotide long non-coding RNA. RefSeq lists it as uncharacterized. The transcript has 6 exons. Lineage: Eukaryota; Metazoa; Arthropoda; Branchiopoda; Diplostraca; Daphniidae. The record is from RefSeq and is a predicted model, not a curated record.
GCGUGACCAUUUUCGAUAUACAUCAAGUCGACUCUCGUUUAGUUAUUUAUAGAAACAAGAAAUUUUUUGGCUUGAAUUAUCAUUGUCUGUGAUCAGAAACUCUGUGUGUGUGUAUGCAUUACGUGGGAACCACACGAACUCAUCAGCCUAUUAUCUCUUCAGCCUACCACCUAGACGUGCUCUCACUGUGACUGUGAGGCAAUACACUCAAAGAUUACAGAAGAAGUUGUGAUCAAACCCUGUGCGUGUGUGUGUCCUGCAUUACGUGGGAUCCACAACAGAUUAUCGCACACCAAUUAUCUCUUUUUCAUACCAUCUAUAGGCUCUCUCACUGUGAGGCAUUACACUACAAGAUUAUGUGUGUCAUUACAGUAAUUCACCAGAACUUAAUUGAAAUGUAUGAGCCGUCUGAUGUGGAGAACAACGAUCCUAAUAAAUCACAACAAAAUACAAGUAGAAGUUCUACUCCUACAAAGAAGCUAGUUCUUCCAUAAGAUUUUUUCGAAUUUGUUGGUGAUUCAGUUGGGAAAAAUUCAAGUCAGUAUAAGUGUCUCUUUCCUGGGUGUGCUAAAAAAAAUUAAUCUGAUAAACUACUAGUAGUUUCCAAUACUUCUAGGCAUAAUACAAAAAGACAUUAUUUGAGUGAUUAUCCCAAAGAUGAACUAGGACAUAGAAAUUCUGGGACGAUGCAAUAAAGAAAUUAACAGCUGACGAUAAAUCAACAUCUUCUCGAUCCAGAUUUAUUUCAACAAAAAGAAACGAAAUAAUAACUCAAGAAGAUCUUGACAACUGGGUCUUGGAUUUUAUAAUCGUCGAUGUCUUGCCCAUUAGCGUUGUUGAAAAGCCAGGUGUUAAGAAACUAGUGUCUAGUCUGGCACCCACCUUAAUUUUACAUGGAAGGACUUUCUUUACCAACAAAUUAGAGAAAGAAUAUGAGGAACGAAGACAACAGCUAAUCGAUGCCUUAGAAAAAUGUACAGAUGCAGCAACUACGAUUGAUGCCUGGACAUGUAGACGAAGAUCUUAUCUGGGUGAAACCAUACAUUGGUUUGAAUCUGACUCACUAAAGCGAAAAAAUGCUUGUCUUGCUAUUCGCCGCAUCAAAAGGCGACAUACAUAUGAUGUACUUACAACUUUCAUAGAAGAUCUCCAUA